Molecule: ribosomal RNA, 253 nt
Filed under: uncultured bacterium
Lineage: Bacteria
Description: partial 16S ribosomal RNA
Rfam family: Bacterial small subunit ribosomal RNA
Source: RNAcentral
GACAGAGGGUGCAAACGUUGCUCGGAAUCACUGGGCGUAAAGGGCGUGUAGGCGGUUUUGUAAGUCGGGCGUGAAAUCCCUGGGCUCAACCCAGGAACUGCACUCGAAACUGCGAGUCUUGAGUACCGGAGAGGAAGGUGGAAUUCCUGGUGUAGAGGUGAAAUUCGUAGAUAUCAGGAGGAACACCAGUGGCGAAGGCGGCCUUCUGGACGGUAACUGACGCUGAGACGCGAAAGCGUGGGGAGCAAACAGG